GAGUUUGAUCCUGGCUCAGGAUGAACGCUAGCUACAGGCUUAACACAUGCAAGUCGAGGGGCAGCGGGAUUGAAGCUUGCUUCAAUUGCCGGCGACCGGCGCACGGGUGAGUAACGCGUAUCCAACCUUCCGUACACUCAGGGAUAGCCUUUCGAAAGAAAGAUUAAUACCUGAUGGUAUGAUGAGAUUGCAUGAUAGCAUCAUUAAAGAUUUAUCGGUGUACGAUGGGGAUGCGUUCCAUUAGGUAGUAGGCGGGGUAACGGCCCACCUAGCCAACGAUGGAUAGGGGUUCUGAGAGGAAGGUCCCCCACAUUGGAACUGAGACACGGUCCAAACUCCUACGGGAGGCAGCAGUGAGGAAUAUUGGUCAAUGGACGAGAGUCUGAACCAGCCAAGUAGCGUGAAGGAUGAAGGUCCUACGGAUUGUAAACUUCUUUUAUAAGGGAAUAAACCCUCCCACGUGUGGGAGCUUGUAUGUACCUUAUGAAUAAGCAUCGGCUAACUCCGUGCCAGCAGCCGCGGUAAUACGGAGGAUGCGAGCGUUAUCCGGAUUUAUUGGGUUUAAAGGGAGCGCAGACGGGUCGUUAAGUCAGCUGUGAAAGUUUGGGGCUCAACCUUAAAAUUGCAGUUGAUACUGGCGUCCUUGGGUGCGGUUGAGGUGUGCGGAAUUCGUGGUGUAGCGGUGAAAUGCUUAGAUAUCACGAAGAACUCCGAUUGCGAAGGCAGCACACUAAUCCGUAACUGACGUUCAUGCUCGAAAGUGUGGGUAUCAAACAGGAUUAGAUACCCUGGUAGUCCACACGGUAAACGAUGGAUACUCGCUGUUGGCGAUAUACUGUCAGCGGCUUAGCGAAAGCGUUAAGUAUCCCACCUGGGGAGUACGCCGGCAACGGUGAAACUCAAAUGAAUUGAC
This 913-nucleotide ribosomal RNA is filed under the name uncultured bacterium. RNAcentral describes it as "bacterial SSU rRNA". It matches the Rfam family "Bacterial small subunit ribosomal RNA", at positions 9 to 914 of the family's 1533-position model. The record is from RNAcentral.